This 253-nucleotide ribosomal RNA is filed under the name uncultured bacterium. RNAcentral's name for it is "partial 16S ribosomal RNA". It matches the Rfam family "Bacterial small subunit ribosomal RNA", at positions 524 to 776 of the family's 1533-position model. The record is from RNAcentral.
UACGUAGGGUGCGAGCGUUGUCCGGAAUUACUGGGCGUAAAGGGCUCGUAGGUGGCCAACUAAGUCAGACGUGAAAUCCCUCGGCUUAACCGGGGAACUGCGUCUGAUACUGGAUGGCUUGAGUUCGGGAGAGGGAUGCGGAAUUCCAGGUGUAGCGGUGAAAUGCGUAGAUAUCUGGAGGAACACCGGUGGCGAAGGCGGCAUCCUGGACCGACACUGACACUGAGGAGCGAAAGCCAGGGGAGCAAACGGG